This 147-nucleotide small RNA is filed under the name Marmota monax (woodchuck). The record is from RNAcentral. Lineage: Eukaryota; Metazoa; Chordata; Mammalia; Rodentia; Sciuridae.
GCUGGGUGCGGUGGUGCAUGCCUGUAACCCCAGCAACUCGGGAGGCUGAGGCAGGAGGAUUGUGAGUUCAAACUCAGCCUCAGCAAUUUAGUGAGGCCCUAAGCAACUCAGAGAAGCCCUGAGCCACUCGGCGAGACCUUGUCUCUA